UUUUUAGAGUUUGAUCCUGGCUCAGGACGAACGCUGGCGGCGUGCCUAAUACAUGCAAGUCGUACGCUUCUUUUUCCACCGGAGCUUGCUCCACCGGAAAAAGAAGAGUGGCGAACGGGUGAGUAACACGUGGGUAACCUGCCCAUCAGAAGGGGAUAACACUUGGAAACAGGUGCUANUACCGUAUAACAAUCGAAACCGCAUGGUUUUGAUUUGAAAGGCGCUUUCGGGUGUCGCUGAUGGAUGGACCCGCGGUGCAUUAGCUAGUUGGUGAGGUAACGGCUCACCAAGGCCACGAUGCAUAGCCGACCUGAGAGGGUGAUCGGCCACAUUGGGACUGAGACACGGCCCAAACUCCUACGGGAGGCAGCAGUAGGGAAUCUUCGGCAAUGGACGAAAGUCUGACCGAGCAACGCCGCGUGAGUGAAGAAGGUUUUCGGAUCGUAAAACUCUGUUGUUAGAGAAGAACAAGGAUGAGAGUAACUGUUCAUGCCCUGACGGUAUCAACCAGAAGCCCG
Molecule: ribosomal RNA, 518 nt
Filed under: Enterococcus faecium
Lineage: Bacteria; Bacillati; Bacillota; Bacilli; Lactobacillales; Enterococcaceae
Description: bacterial SSU rRNA
Rfam family: Bacterial small subunit ribosomal RNA
Source: RNAcentral